AUGGAAUUGGAGGCCCCGGUGGUCGAAGCAGAUCCGGGGAGAAGAAUCACAAGAGGAGCAGGAGGCGGCGGCGGCGGCGGCGAGGGGGAGGGCCCGGCUGGUCGGACCACCCUCCUGCCCUGCCUCAACUGCGACAUCCAGGUGGUGCACAAGCUGGCGCAGCUGCUCCUCCCGGGCCUGGCCGCGGCGUGCGUCGACAGCACCCUCGGGAGCCCCUCCUCCGCGCUCGCCGUCCAGCUGCGCGCGGAGCUGGUCCGCUACGUCGCGCACCGCAGCAGCAGCCCGCCCGAGGCGGAGGAGGAGGAGGACCCGAUCGACCGCGACGACCCGGCCGAGGCGCUGGCCGCGUUCCUGGACGACUUCGCGGGCAGCAAGAGGAGCGUCGCCGUCUCCAUCGCCGGCUGGCUCCCGUACCUGGGCGGCGGCGACGACGGCCGCGACGACCGGAUCGAGGACCUCGUCGAGGAGAUGGAGGCGAGCCGCUUCUGGCCGGUCGAGAGGCGGGAGGCCGUCGCGCGGGACCUCCUCCGCGGCCUGGACGCCGGCGGCGGCCGGUUCCGCUGCCGCGAGGAGCUGGGGACGCCGGAGGAGCUCGCGGACCACGUCGCCGCGCGCUGCGGAUUCAGGCCCGUGCGGUGCCGGAACCAGGCCCAGGGCUGCCGGGCCGAGGUCUCCGCCUGCCGCGCCGACGCGCACGACGAGGCGUGCGCCUUCAAGCUCCUCCCCUGCGAGCAGCGCUGCGGCCUCGCCGUCGCCCGCCGCCAGAUGGACCGGCACUGCGUCACCGUCUGCCCCAUGAAGCUCGCCAACUGCCCCUUCUUCCAGCUCGGCUGCGAGUCCGCCUUCCCGGCCUGCAACCUCGGGUCGCACUGCGCCGAGUUCCUUCGGCCACACCUCCGCCUGCUCCUUAGUCCCAGCAAGAUCGGCGCCGGUCGUCUGGAUCCGGAGGAGCGUCUUCUACGGCUGGAGAAGCAUGAUUCCGAUGGUGCGUUGGGCGAAGCUUUGGACGUGAGGUCUCUCACUAACGCCAUUGCUCAGCUAGAGAAGAAGAUGGACGCUGAAGAUGGUUCCCCCGGUUACACCGGAGACGACAACAAAGAAGCAAUGCCCACACAAGAUUCCAACUCCGCAGCUCUGCACUAG
RNAcentral lists this ribosomal RNA (1143 nucleotides) under Triticum aestivum (bread wheat). Its description in RNAcentral is "partial small subunit ribosomal RNA". The record is from RNAcentral. Lineage: Eukaryota; Viridiplantae; Streptophyta; Magnoliopsida; Poales; Poaceae.